This 180-nucleotide unclassified non-coding RNA is filed under the name fungal sp. RNAcentral's name for it is "partial internal transcribed spacer region". The stretch from base 1 to 46 matches the Rfam family "Eukaryotic small subunit ribosomal RNA", at positions 1786 to 1831 of the family's 1831-position model. Lineage: Eukaryota; Fungi. The record is from RNAcentral.
AAGUCGUAACAAGGUUUCCGUAGGUGAACCUGCGGAAGGAUCAUUACAAAUCUGAGGCCCGUAUAGGGUCUAUAUGUUCGAGGCAGCAAUGCUUCGUGACACAUUUACGCUUGUAUGUUUGACAGAGUUAGUGUGACAUAUAAACAAAGACAACUUUUAACAAUGGAUCUCUUGGCUCUU